Molecule: ribosomal RNA, 434 nt
Filed under: uncultured archaeon
Lineage: Archaea
Description: bacterial SSU rRNA
Rfam family: Archaeal small subunit ribosomal RNA
Source: RNAcentral
GGACCCGACUGCUAUCGGAUUAAUACUAAGCCAUGCGAGUCUUUGCAGUAAUGCAAGGCAUACGGCUCAGUAACACGUAGUCAACCUACCCUAUGGACGAGGAUAAUCUCGGGAAACUGAGCAUAAUACUCGAUAGACCAUAAUGCCUGGAAUGGUUUAUGGUUAAAAUGAUUCAUCGCCAUAGGAUGGGACUGCGGCCUAUCAGCUUGUUGGUGAGGUAAUGGCCCACCAAGGCGAUUACAGGUACGGGCUCUGAGAGGAGAAGCCCGGAGAUGGGUACUGAGACAAGGACCCAGGCCCUAUGGGGCGCAGCAGGCGAGAAAACUUUGCAAUGUGCGAAAGCACGACAAGGUUAGUCCGAGUGAUUUCUGCUAAAGAGAUCUUUUGCAAGUUCUAAAACCACUAGUGAAUAAGGGGUGGGCAAGUUCUGGUGU